GGGCAGCGCAGCGGCACUCCGCCCAGGUCGGCCGCCUCCGCCCGCGGGCCGCGGAACGGCAGCUUCCGCCGGCGGCGGCGGAGCACGAAGGCGAAGAGCCCGGCGGCCACCAGCACGGCGGAGAAGAAGAGGACGAGGAGGCUGAGGAUGAGGACGGAGAGCGGCACGGCGGCGCCGGGCGGGGGCAGCUCGUCCUUGCCGUGGAAGUGGAAGGGGGUCUCGCAGGUGAUGUCCCCCACCAAGGCGGUGUAGGGGAUGCGCUCCAGCCAGCUCUUCAGCUGCACGAUCUCACACGUGCAGUUCCACGGGUUCUCCUCCAGCUGAAUCUCCAUCAGGCUCCUGCCAAUGUGGUCCAACAUCCCGCGAUAUUCCAGACUUUCCAAACCCAGGAAAGUGUCGUUUCUGAAAAUGUCCAAUUUGUUCUCGUGCAAAUACAACCUCUUCAGGACCCGGAGCCCAUUAAAAGCCCCCGUCUGAAUGUCCUGCAGUGCAUUGUUCCCAAGGUUAAUGGACACAGCGUUGUUUAAGUGAAGAAAACUGUUGGUGUACAAUUUCCUCAUGGAAUUCCUCUGCAGAUAAAGUUUAAAAGGUCUCGACCACGACUCUGUUAUCUGACUAAUAUUUAUAAAUCCCUUGUUGUCGCAAUGUAUAUGGAAAAGGCUCUCCUUCACUUCACAGUAGCAUGGAUCAAAGCAAGGCUCAUCCAGUUCCUCCGAGUCCUCUAUCAAGGGAAUGGGUGUAGUCCAUGCUAGAGCAAUUGUGCUUAGAAGAAUUAUCCACCACAUCCUUCCUCUGUGAAGCGUCUCUGCCGAGGAAGGUUUCAUCAUUUGUUGACGUUUACAAAACUGCAAUGGGAAACAAAAUGCAGAUUUUCAGUAUCCCUGUCCUGCCCCGCUCCGUGCACUGAGCCCCUACCUGCCAGGCUCCUGCAAAGUUCAGCAAUGCUUGGCUGGAUGUUCACAACACGCUCUAAGGGUGUCGGAUGCGCGAGCCUUGCCCUGAUUUAUACCUAAGAGAUGUUAGAGGUUUAAUCACGCGAUAUCAGCCUCCCUCCGCCCCCCGGGAAGUGCCACCUAUAUAACGAGGAGAGCACAUGCAGACCCUACAGCAACACGAGCACACAGCAGGACGUGUUGCGUCUCUGCAUGUGUUCCACCACGGCACCGGCGUUCACAACCACACAUCGUUGCUACUUGUUUGCGAGGCUUAGAGCCAUCAUAUCGCCCGCAUGGAUACAGAGAUAUCUCAUCGGUGGGAUUCUCUGCUGUCGCACUACAGCUCUCAAGUUGCCCAAGGAGGUUGUGGAUGCCCCAUCCCUGGAGGCAUUCAAGGCCAGGCUGGAUGUGGCUCUGGGCAGCCUGGUCUGCUGGUUGGCGACCCUGCACAUAGCAGGGGGUUGAAACUAGAUGAGUAUUGUGGUCCUUUUCAACCCAGGCCAUUCUAUGAUUCUCAUCCAUGCAAACUCCCAAAGUUACCGAAUUCCAGCCCUUCAAUCUCUCUCCCUGCCAGCUCCGUGCAUUCUGUAGGUGAGUUGGGAGGAAUGUGAGGUUUGCUGAUGUCCCUGCCAGAACGCUUCCCUUCCGGCACCCCCACAAUGUCUUUAAAGCAGCAAAUGGUUAAGAACCCUGAUCUAAAGGAAAACAUUCCCCGUCCAAACACAACCACAAAAUUAUUGCAGCUGGUAAAUUAUCAGAUAGAUACAUACCACAUAUUAGUCAUUUUAGCUGAUUAGAGCGUUUAGAGAUGAUUAAUCUUGCUAAAGCACAUGCCCAUGCGAUCAGCAGAUCUAAGGGGAAGUGACAGCUCGGAGGCAGCCAGGAUGGAGCGCUCAGCCUGCCUCGGGGUAGGCUGUUCUGUGCCCCAGCACCAAGCAGGAGACCCGGUUAGAAAGCUGAAAGUGGAAGAGAAAAUGCCUUGGCACUUACCAGCCGGUAAAUUAUCUAUCCUACUAUAUGCGCUUCCAAAUGAAGGCACCGUUCUUCUCCAAUCAGAUGAAAAUAAUACUGUACUAAUGAGAUGCAGCUCCUUCAACAUACGGUUUCCCCCAUCCUUCCACCCGAUAUUUUAAACGUAUGGGCACAGAGCAACGCUAAGGGCGGCGAGAAUAGCGGCAGUGAUGCAGCCUUCCUUGAAUCCCUGAAAUCCCAUUGGAAUUAUUCGGAGCGAUCAUUGCUUUUAGUCUUAAUCUCCCAACAGAAAAGGUCCUUUUUGCCUUCCACGCGUGAGAACUGGAACGUUUUGCCCCCCCGCCCCCCCCUCCCCGUCCCCAAACUUAAGAGCAGAAAGAUGCGUUUAGGGGAGAGAAAUGCCAAAGGAGAAGAAAUCCUUCGGAUCAACUUGCAAAUGAAGCCCUCCCCUGUGGGAAAGAGAUGGUCGGAAGCAUGAAAAGAGAAAUACCCUCUGCAAUUAAAGCCAGCAUCUAAUUGGGGAGAAGGGAGAGAGAUGAGAGCUCUAUUGCAGCAUCGGUCUCUCUGUCUCCUUUGCAAAAUAUUAGCCACUUAAGUUCUUUCUCCUCUGUAAUAAAAUUAAUAUAAUAAUAAUAAUAAUAUAAUAAAGAGGGUUAUUAUAUCUCCUUUUGGGGACAGGGGAUGUCUCUGACCCUACGCGGAAACAAAAGGAUCCAGAAAGCCGUACUUACCGGUCUGCAGGAGAGAUUUUAGCACAUCGUUACAGAAAAAAAAAAAGGGGGGGGGGGGAAAGAGGGGGGGAAAAAGCCCGAGUUUAAAGCUUGCUGUUCCCUCAGCCUCUCCCUCUGCCUCUCUCCCUCUCUCCACUCCUGCUGAAGCUGAGGCAAAAGGGAAAAAAAAAAAAAAAAAAAAAAAAGAACCGAGCCUGCGACGUGCUGGGAAUGCAAUGAGCCCCUCAAUGAUCUUCUUUAGGAUGCAGAGCUGCUGUUUGGCACACUCAAUGGAGGAGGGAGCGGAGGGGCUGCUGCAGGCUUCAGCCGCCGCCUUCACCGGGCAGCGCGGAGCGGGAGCGCCGGGGCGCGGCGGUGUCGGGUGCGCUCCUUCCCGGGUAUGUGCGGUGUGUGCAGUGCGUGUGUGUGUGUGUGUGUGUGUGUGUGUGUGUGUGUGCGUGGCGCUGCCCUGGAUCAGGCUUUUCCACGUCAUGAAAAUGAGCUUCAAGAAGGGGAACAAAUGGAGGGGGCGCGCUUGGCACCAGGUCGGGGGCGCGCAUUUGGGAAGCCCUGACUAUACAUUUUUUUUUUUUCCUUUCUGCCUUUUUUUUUUUUUUUUUUAAGAGGGAAGGAGGGGGGUGGUUGGCGGAGAGGAAGUGGGAAAUGAGCAGAUGGGGGAGGAAAAAAAAAGAGCAAGAAGAAUCAGAGAGGAAAAAGCCGCUGGAAUGGGUCACAAUUGGCAACCCCUUCUCUUUUAAAUAACAAUAAAAAUAAAAAUCCAACUCUGACGAAAAUCAGAGAUGUCCUGACUGCGGGGAUGCGGCGGGGAAGGCAGAGCUGUCCCGGCUCGGCCGCUCCGCCCCGCUCCGCUCUCCGCGCAGCGCCCGCUGCUCCCCGCGCUGCUGCCCGUCCCGCUGCGUCCGGCCCCGCAGCUUCUCCAGGACCCAGCAGCCUCCCUUCCUCCCUCCCUCCGAGGAAGCAAAGCCCAAAACCUGGCGGCGGAGGACACGCGGCACCUCUCGCAUCCUUCCUCUCGGUGCAAGACGGGGCGCGUUCCCAUGCGCGGAGUUUGCGCGGAGGCGAAGGGGCCGGCACCUGGCCGCCCCGGGGAACCGCAGGCAGACAACUGGAUGUGAGCCUUUCAGCGAGUACAUCACCUGCAGUGCAAAUAAAUGGAUCCUGUCUCCACAUCUGCAUUUACAUGGUGUGCAGCACCUGUAUUCAUACCGUGGUCCACCACAGCCAUCUACAGGUCAAUGCACAGGGAUUCCUCAGCAGACACAGACAUUUCAAUGAGAGAAGAUUGCUGUGAAGACCUGAAAAUUACUGAUGUAGUCUAAAGCAAGCCUAAUCUCUCCAGUAAAUUCACAUUCAUGGGACUUGAAAAGCAAUGAGUUGGGAGGGACCUUGGCUAGACAAGGGACAUCCAAGAUGUGGCCAAACGAGAAAUGGCAUCAGGAUGGUAUACAACUAUUUCUAUGUCCUGUGUUAAGACUGGAAAAACCAGCAGCUGCUUUGAAACUCGGUGAUCUGAUGAGAUGAAGGUCACUGAAAUUUCCUUCCUUUUCCCUCUGCUUUGGAAAUGACUUCUGUCUUAAGGCCCUGGAGGGUGAAGCUCUUCUAACUCAAGACAAAGGUUCUUCACAUGAGAGAUUAAUUCGUUUCCCCGUAAUUAAAUAAAGAACACUCUCUACGUGGCUAUAUAGAAUAAACUAAAAUGAAGAAAGAACGUGUUGUGGAAAAUAUGGAGAAGUACAACUAGAGAAGUGCAACGUACUUCAGCAGAAUCCAGGUUGCAUCAUGUUGUGCUCCACUACAUCAUGUUAGUAUAUAUGGCGGAGAAGGCAAAAUGCAGUAACAGGAUGUGACAGACAACACUUAGCAAAAAUAUUCACUUAUUUGACUCAGAUACUUGCUAUCAGUUUGAAUUGGGAUACAUGGUACCAAGCAAAGCUGACAGAUAGAAGCAAACUCAGCAAGGAACUCACCCCACGUAGAUCCAAAAGCUUCUUGUCUCAUACCCAGUACUCGCUCUCCUGGUGGUCACUGCUCUCCUCAGCUCUCCUCCUCACCAUUCCUUUCCUUGAUGUAAGUAGUUCUACCAGCUGGUUGUUGUUUCUUUUGAUAUAACACAUGAGCUCCCCAUGUGGGACUAAUCGCAUCCUGUUGUACUUAACGAGUUCCCUUAAAUGACAGUUGACGGAAAUGCCAUAAAUCAUUUUUAUAUGAGUGAAAUUGUGAAUUACACACAAAAAAAGAGUGCCUGGGCACUGUGCAUUUAUGUAUACAGAGGGACUAUUUCAGUUAACAAGAAGCUUAUUCUUGAAGGCACCUAUAUUUUAUACUGUGGCAAAGUCUUUCUGACAGACUUAAAAAUAUUGAGGGUCCUUUAUUGCUCUUAGAGGAAAUAUUUCAUGGCAAUACUUCUGAAAAAGGUUUAGCAAAGUAGUGAAUGCUCAUGUAAGUGAAUCAAGUAAUCCCCCAUAACAAGGCAGCUGAGGAGCAGGCCUUUCUUCACAAGAGUUUCCAAAAGCACUGAUCCUGACCUGGAUGAGGACUUCCAACCCACAGAGCACCUCUUGGACAGCCUUCAAACCAUGACGUGUUCUGUACAAUCUGUCCUAGCAGGAAUUAGGAUGGGAGAACUUCAUGCCAAGUAUCAACAGUGCCAGCAAAGGUGGCUCAAUGGCCUAAGGCCAAGCUGCUGAAGUGUGAGGAAAUUUGCACACGGACAUGAAGACUUCCCUCUUUCAAGAGGUGGAGCCAAAGAAAUAGGCCAAGCUACCACGUGUAGUAUCUGUAUCUCACCAAUACAGACCCAAUCCAGUCAAUCACAUGGCUACAACUUGAAGGAAAGGAAUAAGGAGAUACCAAUGAUUUGUAGGAUCAUGAAAAGAAAGCAAUGCAUGUCAAAACUUAAGUUUGUAUGAUGGCAGCAGGGUGCAAGAUCCAUGGUCCUUUGCUUCAUAGAGGAAAUUAAUUAGAACACAGAGGGAAGUGAUUAAAUGAUGCACCCAAGUAAUACAUGCACCCAUUUCAUGGCCUAGCACUCUCCUGCUUUUUCACACAUGUAUCAUCUCAUCAGAGCCCUAAAGGAAAACAGUGGAGGACCACAGCAGCCCAAAAUAGGCUCUCCAAAAUGCCACAAACAGGGGACUUCUCCUAGCAGCAGAGGACAGCUGAGAUCAACAAGGCUUUAUACAAAUGUUAGGGAAUAGAACAGAAGUAAAAGGACCCAUUCUUCACAAAGCCCACACACUCCCUGAGAAGCUGCUCAGCAAUGAGGAGGCCAUACUGGCAGCCAUGUCCUGAGGUAAUUCCUUUGUUGUGGUCCUGGACUGUGAUGAGAUCCAGGAAAAUUGGAAAGGUCAAUGGGAGGUGGGAGGACAGAGAGAGCAACACUGGGGGAGGCUGGAAGUGGCUGGGGUGCUGAUAUGAAGCCAUGAGUACGUUAAACUUGGUAUCCUCAUCCAGAACACAGCCCUUACCCAGUAAGCAUGCUCUGUGGUGUGUGCAUCUCUCUCUUGUGCUCAGUCUGGGUUGGAUCCUUCACCAGCCCAUUUCUCAUGUGCCAUAAUGCACACAGAAAUGCUGCUCCUUGUGCUUGAUCACACUGCUCCUUUGGUGGCUUUAAUUAAAGGGUUUCUGCCCAUCAGUGUCUGCAGAGGCCUCUUACCUUGUGCUUGCUUUUGGAGCCUGGUCCCGGGCACAGCAGUGCCAAGUGAAAAACCAUCCUCUGAGCAAGUGCUCUAUCCUCGUCUUACCUGCUGAAAAAGAAUUUAAAAAUGAUUAAAUAAUUAAUACUGGGUGUUGCUUAACACUUGUUAAGAGUCUUAGUUAAUAAUUUUCUGAAGCUUUUUUUUUUUCUAAUUUGGGAAUAAAACAGAUAUAAUUGAGCAUGUCAUUCCAAAGCAACAAAUAACACUGUGCAGAGAAUUGAAGGAAACAUGUUUCUUUGAUUAGGAUGUUUUUCUCAUUAACAGGAUGUUCAAAAUAAAGCAAAAAUAUUUGAUGCACAGAGCCGGUGGCAGUAUCAAGUUAACGCUGGCGUGCUCCUGCAUUUUACCUCAUGUUUACUAAUCAAUCAGAAAGGACUCUUGCUGCCAAGAAAGGUCACAUCUUUCAUCACAAAACUGAAACUCUUUGACAACAAACAAUCAGAACUUCACUGCUCUGUUUAAUGUGGAUUCCAGCACAGAAGACCCAGGCUGUGGGAUGGUGGGUGUGGGGUGAUGGGAACGUGCAGAGCUAUGAUUCUCAAAUGUUUGUUACUCCCUACUGUGAGUCUGGAUGUCACAAGCAAAAAUGUGCAUGUGUUAAAAGCUCUUGAAAGAGCUGGGGUGUAAUUGGCUGAACAUGAACGCUGUUUUUGCUAUUUUCUUUUCCCUCUGCUGGCUGCCUAGGCAUUAGCAUCUCCAAGGAGUCUUCUGGGCAGUGACAAUAGUGGGAUGCAGACCCAAGCUGGCCUGGAUUUACACCCUUGGUCCCCUGGAGAAAUCAUUGGGUGGUUGUUUAAAGCUGGUACAGCAUUGAAUACAGCAGAGGAGCCUUGACCUUUAUUUGUAAGCAUGGAAAUAAGGUAAGGAUGAAAGAUUGCUUUUCCUCCAGCUCAUAGGCAGGGAUCAGGAGGCCCUCCAGAGAAGCAGGGAGGUGGAAAGUCCCCAUUCAAUUUCUCUCCUCGCCUCCUUUCCCGUGCUGGCAGCAGAGGCCAGUAGUGCUAUGCAGAAGCCGUGCUCUACGGCAGCGAGAGGUGAAGGGAAGAAUCGCACAUGUUGCAGCUCCCUCGGGCUGCUGGAAGUAUAAGCAGUGAAUCAGCAGGGCUGAGGACCUGGCUGUUUUGACCCCAGCCCAGCUCUUUUUAGUCAAUUAGUUUAAGGCAAAUCCUUCCCUGGGGCUGGACACAGACACAAGCUCACCUGGUGCUUCAUGCUGUGCUGAUGCAACGAUGUAAGGUAUCGAUGUUCAUGGGCUACCUGAGGGCAAGAGUUGUGAGUGGUGCUGCAAUCUCUGCUGCUCGCAUUAUGACUCAGUGGUACCAAUAGGAUCUGUGUAGUGCAUCAGGGGAAGAAAGAGGACCCCUAACCCGAGGAAAUACAGGUAAUCUUAGAAUAGUCUUAUUUCCAUUAAAGGUGAUUUCAUCUAGAGUGUGCUGAGUGGCAAAUUUACCCAGGAGGUUUAACUUGCUUCUCUGUCUUCACAUUUUCAGAAGUUUAAUUUUAGUAAAUUUGUACUGUGCUCAAAAUAAACCAAGAGGUAGUUCCACAAACGGGUUCAAAUGCAGGAACUGCUGUUGUGAUGGAGCUCUGGAUGUCCCUUUCAGUACCAUCACCUGGCAUUUGAAAGCUUGUCAUGGUGCGUAUCAACCCUCAGGAGAUCUUCUGAUCUCCCCACGUUAUCACAGCUUCACACUGAAGUGGGUUCAUUGGAGAUACAGCACUGAAUGCAUUCUGCAUGCCAGACCCACAAAAUGUAGGCAGCGAUUGUACUGCUUCUUGUAUGUGGUGCUGCAUUCACCCUACACAGUCAUUCCAUUCGCCAGCCCCCCUUUUCUGGCAGAAGUCAUUGCUGGAUCCCUGAAGUCCAGUGAAUUUGAAGAUCCACCAGGUCAUUAUCAUCUGUGGGCUGGAAAAGCUCCUUUUGGGAUAUUAAACAAUUAAAAGAGGGAAACCCUCCCCACACAAACCCAUCCCACAGCUCCCAACCUCCAUAGGCACAGUGCUGGCCUACCCAGCUGGCAGAGGGCCACGCUGUGUUGAGGGCGCAAACUUGGGUGAGGAUGCUGAGGAUCUGGUUGCCACUUCAGCCAAGAAAUGAAGAAGGAUUCACAGCACUUCUGUGGUGCAUUCUGGGUCUGUCUGCAUUUUCAAAGCAAAAAUUUAAUCACGCAAAUAUUUACAGAAAUUUGAGAAAAAAAUAAAGACCAGUGAAAGCCGCCGCAGUGAACUUCUAAUUACAAAUCCACCAAGUGUUUAUGAAUAAAUUUAUCUAUUAUUUGUCUUGCUCUAGCACUGCGCAUACUUUGCCUUGUACCAUUACAGUCUGAAGGAAACAAUAUGCGGCAUGAAAAUGAAAACAAUUUGACUUAAUUAUUUAUACUAUUACCACCCUUUUGAAUUAAGCCCUCUAUUUCUUUGGUAUUUUGUAAAAUUUAACUGGUAAUUAUGCUUGUUUAAUUCAUUUAUUUCUCUAUAAAAAAAAAAAAAAAGAAAAGAAAAAACCCUACCAGAAUGCAAAGUGCCACUAUGUUCUCAAAUUAUAAAUGAUUCUUUUAAGCUUUUAUGACAAAAAAAAAAUGUAGUAUUUUCUAUCACUUUGUUUAAAGCGUGUCUGGCUACGCUCCAACACUAUUUAAGUAUAAACAGGAAAAGCCUUGGAGGACAAGUAAUCAUACUUAAAUGACACAAAGAUCAUUAAAAUAAUGCUCAAAAACCACGGCAAAAUGAGACAUUGCAAGGCUGUUUUCUUCCUUGGAGUGUUUCACCAGAUGGUGAAGAGUGCUGAAAUAGAUUCGAGAGAGAAGCAAAGAGCAUUUCAUCAGCUGUCUCACACCAGUGCCGUGCAGCGCACACAGCCCUCAUCUGAGCUGGUGUGAAGUGGCAUCAUCUCCUACCUCAGCCUCACCCAGCACUGAGAUAGGGAGAACACCGAGGUGCUGGAAUGAAGCUGUGCUGAAUCAUGGCCUGGGAAAUCCCUGCUUUGUCCUAUGGAAGUCACCGAGCAGAUUUAUUCGGAGAUGAGAACAAAUGAGCACGUCAGCAGAAGUUAUUGUGGCAAUUUGUGAAAGCCUUAAUGGAAUGUUUUCUGAGCUCACAGAGAAGAGCUGUGCCAUUAAAUUGCUGCACAAUAAUUUUACUUUGAUACUGGAAAGGCAUUUUGUUUUUUUUUUAAUCAGAAAUGACAGCCUACAUCAGUGGUGACGCGUCAGCUACUGGUGUUUAAAUACAAGGGUCUCAGAAGUCAAUCUUCACUCACAUAAAGGAAAAAAAAAUCAUAUUUCUAUACAUAUAGUUGCUGUAUGAAAUAUCUAAAAGUGAGAUACCUUUGCACUUUUAUCAGUGUCUCCAUUCUUGGCUGAAGAACUUUACAAAGACCUGUGGGAUUUGUAUUUCUUCCAAUGACAUUACCUUUUUGCAAACUUUGUCAGAAAUAUCAACAUAAUUUCUAAUUAAUAAUAAUAAUAAUAAAACUCUCUUAAAUUUUGUAGCUUAAAUAUAUACUGGAAAUCCUUUCCUCUUGGCUAGAGGCUUCUACUUUUAGGAACGUUGGUGAUCAAAAUGAGUGCUACUCAUCCAUCUGCGUUCUCCUGAACGUUUAAUCUCUGCAUUACAUGUAUUUUGUGGAAUCCUUAAAUGUACAAGACAAAGUAUUUGGAGGUCCUGAAAUCUUCACUGGGUUCUGCUAGCCUGUUACCAACCUGGCUCUUCCUAGAUCCCAAUGGAAAGGCCUGCUGUGCUCUAGGAGGUAGCCUUAACUGUACCAGAGCUGCAAAACCACAAUAGGCAGAAGAGGUGCCCUCUGAAAGAGAGGAUUUCAUAUCAGCUGAGUACAAGCAGCUGAGCCAAGCAGUUGGCAGAAGGAUGUCAGUGUAUUUCCAAGCUCCCUACCUUCCAGAAAGGUUGGGUUUCUCAACUGCUUCCUAACCAACAUGCCUGGCAAAACCAGAUCCACAGGAAAACUCAUCUUUUGUAGAUAAAUCAGCCUGAAAUGGAAGGUGACUUCAUUUCCAAUUGGCAGGCAUUCUGGUUCCAUGCUGUGCAAGGAAACAGCCUCUCUAUAUUACAAGUGUCUUUGCAAUGAGUAAUCCUAAUGUCCUAAUAACAUCUUAUGCACAGCUCUUGAUAUACUUCCAUUAUAUAGAUCUAGCAACAAAAAAUGAAAUAAAAUCCCCCAACACUAUCAAUAUCUCCACACUCAACGGGUGCUCAGAAGAGGACCUUGCAAACUGGAAAGGAUGAAUUUAAUUUUUGCAGUUCUUUUGCAAAGACCAGUUUGCAUCCAGCUUAUGCACUUAAGUAAAAAAGCCUGUGUGUGGAGAGUUCUCACCAGUCUGUGUUAAAUGAGUUGCUGAUUUUAGCCCCCUUCCUUGAAGACAACUGACCAUUAGAUACACGGAUACUGUAGGUGACAUUAACUCUGCCAUCAUCCUCAGGCAGCGGCACUGGGUCGGGAUGCAGAGUGUCCCAAAAUCUUACAAAUGGACUGUACCUCCAAAUGGCUGUGAUUGAUCCUCAAUGUUAUUUCCAAGCCAAAUAAUCUGGGAAAUCUGGGUGUUGGGAGCAAUUUGUGCCUCAGUUUCUCAUCUGUAAAACAGCAAUACAAGGACAUUUAGAAAACUUAUUUUUUUGCCCUAAAAUGGAUUCUUUUAUUUCUAGAAGGGUCCUUGGAGGAAUAUCAGGUCUUUCUGAUAGUUAUUUUCCAAAGAAAACCUAGCAAGAGCUGAUAGUUUCUGUCUUCAGCCAGGAAGCGGCUUUCUUCCUUGGUUUUAACUUAGUUAUGCCACCUGAACAGUGGCACGGAGGCCUCAAUGAGGAUCCUUGCUUUAUACUCAGAGAAGUCUCUGCGUUUGCACUGACUGCCAGAAGCUGCAGAUCUGGGGACUACAGCGCCAGUGAGGAGUUCUUCAAACUUGGCAAGAGUCCCAUUGUACAUUUAUUUUAUAUUCUACCUAAAUUCCAGGCAAAAUACCAUUUCUUGUACUUAAAUACUAAUGGUUUUGAGAGACGAUAAAAGCUUGAAUCAUACAGCAGGCAUAUCGAAUUCAAAUCUUUGAACGUGUUAUGCUGCUGAGAGCUCUGUCCCCAGUAGCUGGCAGAGGUUGCUCUGAUGUUAAUGAUUAAUCAGGGAACUUAUUUUCAGUAAUAAAGCACAAAUAUUUAAAUGAUUAAAUGACCUACGAGCCAGCAUUAUGAGGAAUGUGUUACAUGUGAGCAGCCUGCAAAGCAGCACUUCCCAGCUCAUGGACAACACAGUGCCCGCUGAGCAAUGCCAGCACCUCUCUUGGCCACUACUGCUUCUCAGGAGGUGGUGGAAACUGGGAUUCCUCCUUGAGUAUAUAAACUGUGUCACGCCAGCCUUUAAAAAUCAGGUUGCUUUUUUUUUUUUCUCCAGUGAGGAGUCCUGUUGAUUUUAAUUGGAUACUUGAGUUAAAAUAAGAGAUACAGCUUCUUUGCAUUUAUUUACUGAGUCUUUUUUUUUUUCACUUUUCCAGCUAUUAAUUUCCUUAAAUGUAAAGUGACAUCUUUAAAAUGAAAAUGGCUUAUUGCUUGCCAGGAGCAAAGCCUGCCUAAUUUAAGAAAUUCAGAAUUAAAGCUUUUGAAGCAUAUCAGGGAGUGUUUAUACAACAAUUAUUGCAAACAUCAGCCCUGCUCAUUGCAGCCUCUUCAGGCCACCACCAAUGCCUCUAACUUCAUUGCCAACCUUCCCCACCCCAAGAUGUUUCAUCAGUUGCAUAAAAUCAGGUCAUUCUAUGAUUUUAUCCUUCUUAUCACCCCCCAAGCACUCAAACCCAAACCCAACCAACCAAUUGUUUAAAAUUAAGUAGUAGACUCAUUAUUAAUAACUGAUAGCAGAUGAAGGAGUGCAGUGACCUCUCCAACAGAGCAUUUAAAUCUUUGCACUACACGCUCUGCUUGUGCUAGGCUGGUUUCACAAACAACAGCUGUGUAGUUCGUUAGCAUAUGAAUCCCCCUGAGGUAAUUUGGAGGAGGCAAAUGUGCUAAACUAAACACCUCAUUAAAGCAGCACUUUAAAAAACAAAACAACAACAACAAAAAAAAUUCCACCCGAGCCCCAAACUAAUUUCGUGUUCCACUUUUGCUUGUGGAGGUGCUUGGUGGUGAAUAUUCUGUUGUAUGGAAUUCAUUCAUCUGGGUUGCUGGAAAUAGGGGGUUUUUAAAUCACUAAUACGGGCUUUUCUCAGCUAAGAUGCACUUGAGACUAAAGUGUCUUUGAAGAGUGUUCUGUCACAAAGAAGCAAUUAACUGAGGACAAUAAUGUUUUCUUUUUCUCCCAGUCACUAAGCUGAACUCAUGGGCCCCAGGAUUGUACUCAAAUAGCAGGACCUGUUUCUGCUGGGGCUGAAGAGUGAGUGGAUGAGGCCAAAGGCUCUUGGUGGUCCCCAAGAGCAUAUCUGCAGAGGGUUUUGGAUGGGGCCAAGAAGAAGUGCUCACAAGUGUCCCCAGGACCACUGCAUCCCCCAGGAGAAUCUUGCAGAUAUUUUCAGGAAAUUCCUUUAUAACAAAUACGGCUACCAGAGGAACUGGUUGCAAGUCCAGGCAAAUGAUGUAGGACAUUCAUGAUGGUAUUAGCGUUGCUCUUCCUUCCCUUGGUCACACAGGCUGCAGGGUACUCAAACUUCAGUCCUAUUUUGGCACCACAAACAACUUUUCAUCCUACUUCAUCUCUACUAAUUUAUUAAAUCCUGAGUGAGACUGCAAGUCCAUUAAAAUAUUUAAAUGCUGUUUCACAUUUUGAUAAUGAUUUAAAAAACAAAUAAUGGGGAACUUUUUGUUCUUAGAAUCUUAUGGAACAACAGCACUUAUUCUAGCAGAAAAUGACAUUCUAAAUCUGAAUGGAUAACCUUUGCCCAGUGAGGUUGUGCAUACCCCCGCCCUGGAAGCAUUCAAGCCAGGUUGGAUGGGAUUUUGAGUAACCUGGUGUAGAGGGAGGUGUCCCUGCUAUAAGAGGGGGGUUGGAACUAGAUGAUCUUAAAGGCCCCUUCCAACCCAAACUAUUCUAUGAAGUUAAAACAUUAGACCUGCUGGAUUGUGUGGUUUCAUCCAAAAAGCUCAUCUUACUGUUUCAUCCCAAUCUAUUUCAUUUUUCAAAUGUCAGAUAAGACGUUAAGAAGCUAGAAGUGGUAGUUUAGAACUACCAUAACAAUGAUUUAACAUGGAUAAAUGCAACAUAAACUGUACAACGUCGUCAUGUAUGUACACUCCAUAGUUUCUAUCUUCUCUUUUGAAUGUUUUGAUCCUGAAACAAAAGUAGGGAAUCUGAGUUUUGGGAGGAGUAAAAAGUAUCCCUGACCUACAAUCUUAUUUUCAAAGCAUGGCUUGGUAACCUCUUGGAAUUUCCUCAAGGUUUUGUAAAUAUUCUGCUGAGUUCUUUCAAGGUGUUAAUAUGUCAUCCAAAAACCAGAAAGUACUAUUUAUUCUCCACAGGACUCAAUCCAUUCUUCUUCGAAAUCCUGCAGGUAACCAGCUCCCCCCUAGGGUAAUCUCUCAUACUUCAGUAGGCACAUAAGUAUGUGUUAAUUUAGUCAGAAUUAGUGUUUCUUCUCCUUUCCUUCUCCCCUUCCCUUUCCACUUUUCCUGCUCUCUUUCCUUUUUUUCCUCCCCUUCCUUUUCCCUUUCCUUUCCUUAAAUUUUGUUUGCUAUGUUGCUGCCAGGCUUUGGACAAGUGAAGCCUGAAAAAAUCUAUUCCCUCUCUCAGUUUUGUAGGUAAACCCAUGGCUUGGGGAUUUUUAUAGGCACACUGAAUACAGAACUUCUACAUGUAAAAUUAUAUCCACAUUUUCAUCCCCUGUCCAUGUUUUCCUUGCAUGUUUUCAGUGCAAUUAUAUCUUUAAUAAUGGUGUAAUUGCAGAAAUCUUGCAGAAAAUACAAGACUUUAAGCAUUGCAACUGCAAUGUAGAUUUUUAUACUACAGAUUUAUUGGUGAAUAUUUUCUGUUGCAUUUGCAUAAAUACUAUUCCAGAAUAACAAGGUUUCAAAAUAUUUCUCUGUUUCAUUUAACUGGAAGGUCUGUGAUAUAGAGUUAUUUCAGAGAAUCAUAGGAUGUCUUGAGUUGGAAGGGACCCCAAGGAUCAUCAAGCUCCAACCACCCUGCCGCAGGCAGGGCUGCUAACCUCCAUAUCUAAUACUAGACCAGGCUGCCCAGGGCCCCAUCCAACCUGGCCUUGCACACCUCCAGGGAUUUCAUCUAAGAAUGCUUGUUUUUUAUUAUAUCUCUCUUUCAUUAUUACUUUUUUUUUUUUUUAAUGAAUAUAGUCCCCAGAAAACAGAUACAGACGACAAUAGUGAUCUUUGUGAAGAAGCAGCUUUGAAGCCCCCUUUAUUUACCAGAAAACUAUCAUUCCAGAUCCUAAUAAAGCUCAGAGAUUCAGCUGAGCUCGCUGUACUGCAGCAAGCUUAAAUCACAGCUGAAGUGAAAAGAGAGAUUCAGAUUAUGUACUUCCAGAGAAGUGCCCAAGCUCACAGCAGUAAAUAAACACACCUACAAGAGAGGACAGUUUUUCUCCACUCAGCGUAUCCCCAGAUUUCCUUCUUCACUGCUACGUUACCCAUGUGGCAGAUCAGGGCAGAAUCACAAAAAAUUCCUACAUUUUUCUUGUGCCAUAAUAUCACCUCCACUUAUUCCUGUACCUGAUCACUUGUGAUUAAGGCCGAUGAGGAAGACUAGUUUCAAGGGAUGCAGAAAGUUUAGUCGUCCACACAAAACCAUAACGACUCUUCAUUUGUUUUAUACCCCAAGGACAGAUUUCUGCCUGUAGUCAGCAGCACUGAAGCACAUCUUACUCUCAACUGAUGGACUAAUCUGACUCUCUGAGCUACCUUGCCUUGCUCUGAAAACUGAGAUUGCAUGGGAAGAGUUUCUACCAUCUCCUGUACUUAACCAUGAUUCUCCCAACUCAUGUCACACCAAAUUUAACCGUCAACUCUAAGUAAAAUGGAUUAAAAGUCUCCGGAGAGUGAUGAUCUUCUAGAGGGAGAGGCUCCAGUGACUUUUGGAUUGCCAAAAAGAUGAAGACUUUUUUUGCCUCUUAUGAAAUUUGAAAAGAUCACCACUUUAUCUUAGGGCCAGGUCGUUUAAUUACAACGAUUUACCACUGAUAUUAAAACCAAACGUGAUAAUUAUUAAGAAAUAACUAGCAAUUAAUAAAUGUAUUUUUAAAAUAACUAUGACCUUUCACCUUACAGAUCCAGAUUUAAUUAUUGGAAUACUUCCAUCUUUAGAAGAUUAAAAAUAUCAUUUUUCUGGUAGUCAGUAAGAUCCACUGUAUUGCCCAUAAAGAGCCAUGUCUCUGUUACUCAUUAAAUAGAAGUUUUAAAGAGUUUUUAAUUAAGGGAUGAACAAGUAAAUUCAGCCCAUAAGACAAGCAGGACAUGUAUAUGUGGAAUAAAACAAUAAAUAAAGAGAGGAUUAAAUACUUCCAAGUUGUUCAAUGAUGAAUUAAACAAAAGUCCAAAUACAAGAUUUCCUCACCCUUCCUGCUCAAGAUUUAUACCACUAAUCAGCCAAGUUUCAAAUCCUUAAUACAGUAAAGCAUUUGCCUUUAAGGCAGCAGCAAUUCAAGAUUGCUAGCAAAAUGAAUGUAUUUCCAUUAGGCAAAAUAAUUAGGUCAUAUAUUCUAACAGUAUCUUUGGACUUAAAUCUCUUUGGUGAAGGGAACUGUCAAUCACCUACAAUUCGAUCAACAAUCUUGGUCAGAAACCACCCCAUAUGUGGAAAGAAAAUUACAAGUGACUUUUCUGUCCCUUGCAUUUAUUCAAGGUCAUUCAUAAAAAAUAACAGUGAAAUGACAGGUUACAUUUUGUCCUACAAAUCUGGUGCUUUUUGAGGAAUAUAUUUGAAUACUACUUUAUGUUUAUUAAAGCCAGUAUGAGUACCUAUGCAAAUUAAAACUCUUCAAAUCUCCACAUCAGAAUGAACUCAUGCAUUUUAGUACAACUUUUCAGGGUGUUGCAGGUUUGUAAUUGUGAGCACAGUAAAUCUUUACAGUCCAUGAUUACUUGGCUGUUGACUUUGAAGUCCUCAGUGCGCAAGAGAUAUGCUUACAGAACAAACACUGAGCAUUUCUGCUUGGGCAUUCUUCAGAAUCCUUCCCUAGACAGAAGCUUAGCAGAAAGGGAGGGGAUCCAUUUAUUGCCUGGCUGGUGGGAUGGGGCAUUUGAAAAGACAAGGUGUGCCUAAUUGAACAGAAAUUUGCAAUUACUUAGAAUAAAACCCCACCUCAUGCAACUAGGCACUUUAAAAUGUAUAGCUGUUAAUAUGCUUCUGCACAUCUCACUUGGAGAGUGAGCCUCAAUCCUUUAGACACUUGAGCUCAUUUUGCCACAUUUAUAAACCAUGUCAGGGGGUUGUAGCUAAUUAGGGCCUGGCCUUGCAUCUCAUCAGAGGAUAUCACCUGCCGGUGACCCCCAAGCACCACUCUGAGCACCAGUGGUGUUGGGGUGAGAUCUGAAUGGCACACAUGAGAAGGGAAGUAUGAGGGAGGGCUGAGAAAACAUGCAGAACCACUGACUUCUGUACAGGCCUCUGUGCACAGAGUGGCCAAUUAGCUAAUCACUAUUUUGCCUUCCUAUCAGAGCGGUAAAUGGAGUCACUGCAGAAUUGUUGGUGACUAAGCCAAUGAGCACAGCUGAGCCACUGACGGACACUGAACUCUCAAAUAUCAGGGUCAUAAAACAAGGUUUUACCUUGGCUGUUGCGGUUGUAAAGCGCUGUUUGAAGAUGGCAAAUCCCCCUCUUGUUGCUGUCACAGUUCUGUUCUUCCGAUCUUCAAAUUGCAGCCUGCACAUCGCCCUCCUGUGCAAGUCCAUAGGCCAUGACCCACAGCUGCUUCUGCAGUCCCACUGCUAUAGCUGCAUCAAGUAGGAAUACCAUAGGAGAUUAAUAUAACCAUAAUCACAGCUGUAAUUGCCCAUACAGGCUUGGUUAAAGCUAAUAACAGUGUGCCUACCUCUGGUGAAAUCACAUCUUCAUUUUCCUGCAGAGGCACACUUGGACAUAUUCGUACAACGAAGUCCUGGGGUGUGGGCUGCUUUGCAACAUAGAGCUGUGCUAGGUAGAAUGAUCAGUGAGCAAAAAAGAAUGCAUAAGGAAAAUCCAUCAUGUGCUCUAUCAAGUUAUCAGGAGAUUUGUGCAGAAAAGCAAACCCGUGAUGUGGCCUCCCCAUCUAGCUCUGGACUAUUUACCCUGCUGAUGAGAAAAGGCUAUUAAAUACAGAGCCUGAUAUUCUGUUACUAAUAGGGAUCCCACUUAUCUAAUUGAAAGGAAAUUGUGGGAAAGCACCACUAGAGGUCACUCAAAAUUAAUUGUUACCCAAUUAGCACAAUUUGACCCUAAAGUUCAAGACGCUCUACAGCUUUCUUGUUUAAAGUACUAUCAAUUUUGACUCUUGACUGUGAGAAAACUCAGAACAGUUGGAGACAGAAAAUGUUUUAUCAGUUCUCCCCUCAUUCAAAGGUUCCUAAAUUAGCUUUGCCUUUCUCUCUGCCAGCAGCAAAUCAUUUCUUUCUCAGCAAUGAGCUUACAGAUGCUGGCAGUGAUGGACCUCUAGAAGCAUUGUUUUUAGAGGAAUUCAGACCUACCUGUGUUAUCUCAAGCACCUGGUCACCCAUUUUGAAAAUUAGACCAAAAUGAAUUGUACAAGUGAGGGAAUAUAUAGGAAAACAAAACAAAACAAACAAACAAAAAAAAAACAACAAAAAACAACAAAAACCUUUCCAAGAUAAAAGCCUUUUCUUUUUUUUUUUUUUCUUUUUUUUUUUAGAUAUACAUAUACAUAGAAAAUUAUAACCACUGUUGCAUGGAAGAAUGAGUACAUGUUUUUAUAACAACUGCUUGACUAAGUAAAAGAGGUUAAAAGCAAAGUUAACGUUUGAUUAAUGGGUAUGUGUUGAAAUAUCUCUGCGUGUAUUUAAUUAAAAGCAGAUGUUCUAUUUGCAGGGCUUUUGCCAUAAUCUGUGGUAAUGAUGAUAGCAAUUUAUUUGCCAAACCCAACAGGAAAAGCAAUAUCUAAUUAGUGUGCUCUAUAAGAUUAAGCCUACUAACCACUGGUGCACAUGCAUACAUCUCCUGAUGUUAUCAGGAGUCCUCCCAGUGCUCAGUAUGUAAUUCAUGGUCCUACAUAGACCAGAGUGAGGAAACAUUCCCUUCCAGUGCAGCUUGGUGUGGGAAAACUCAUGGGCAGCCACACUUCCAUGAAUGAUGCUCUAUCAGUGCUCUUAUUUCAUUCCUCAUUUCAGGUUACUGAUGAUCCUCUUAUUCUCCCCACCCCUCACUUUCAGCUUAAUGGAUAAAGGGGAGGAUUAGCUACUCAGCUUAUCAAUAUGUAUGAACAUGACAAUAGGAAAGAUUGUGGUAGUUUCUUGAAAUAUCCUUUAAUAACCUCACAAGGCCAGCCAAGGAAGGAUGCAUGGCAUCAGUGCAGCUGCAGAAAAAAACGCUAAAGCAUCAUAACAUGGGCAAGUAAUUUAUGAGGCUCUAGUCUCCUAAUUGUUUCAUCAAGGUGAUAAAUAAAUAAAUAGAUCAUCAGCAUCUGAAGAGCUGUAUGGCUUCCUUCUCUGCUUUCUAGAGAGAUUAAUCUUGCAGAGGUAGAAAGACAGUUUGCCACAAAAUCAUACUCAUAGGCUCAACAAAUGGAAUUUGGAUGUAAUUAUCAUUUUUUAAAAUGGUGAGCCACCAUCUAUCUACUUUUCUGCACAGCAAGACAGUGAAGUCAAGGAAAAUUACUCUGCAUUUAUUCUCUCCCUUAAAAUCUGUAGCAACUGAAUAAUAAGAGCUACUGCUUCAAGGUGUUCAAAUAUCCCAGGCUUCCCUCAUCUGCACAUACUGCUUCUGUGCUGGUGGCAGUGAAAGUCUUGCAACAUUCAGUCACACCUGCCUAUUCAUCAGGACAAAUUUCACUGUUUGGUGGCCACAUUACUCCCUCUCCCGUAGUACUUAGCUGGGCUUGGACUACGCAGUUAGUCCUCACCACAAAGAUUCAAGAUACUCAUGUGUUCUUGUUAUAAAAGGGGACAGAUACAGAGAAAUAAGGGCUGUUUUACAGAAAUCCUAACUAAAACCCAACAUUAUCAGAGCUUUCCCUUCAGAAAACCUCUGCCGUUGGAACUCUUCCUCUAAAAUGAGUAAAAGUGCCAUUGAAUAUAGUCACUUACUCUUGAACGUGCACAGAAAACAUUACUGAGUGCUUCUCAUGCAACAAAGCAUACAUUUUGAAAAUCACAGAAAAAUAAGACAGCGAGCAGCUGAAGCUGUAAGGCUGAGGCAGAGAAAUGGAGGGAAAGAAAACACACUGAAGAAGAGACAGAGUUACUACAGAAGGCCAACAGCUAAAGAUUCUUACUAGAAAAAAUGAAAAUCAGGUGGGCUCAGGUAGAGAGCCCUUUCCUUUCAUUUGCAAGGAAAAUCACAGCUUUUGAUAUGCAAAGAAUUAUAGAAUUUGAUAAGACUUGAAGGUGAGCUACCUAGAGCCAGCAGUUGCCCAGCUGGUUUGCCACAGGGCAAUUUUUGCUAAUUACAUAUCUCUCAUUCCCUGAUCAGUCCAUUCUUCCACCCAUUAUUGCCCUAGCAGCUACUGUGGGAUAUUCUCAGAUAGAACAAAUAAUUUCCUAUUUUGGUCAAAAACAAAGGUUAUUCAGCAAUAGAGGAAAGCAAGGUUUCUACCCAGCUGCCACAACGCAUUUCCAAGAGCUCGUCUUCCCCCCAAAAACCCACCUUUUACUCUGCAUGCCUCACCAUCCAAAAGCUGAUCUCCAGGUUAUGUCAUCUAAUACAUAGCAGCCACAGUUUUCCUCUCAAUCCCCUGUAUUAACUUAACCCAAUAAUUAGAAAGUAGGGGAAAAAAAAUGUCAAAUUUUCUUUUCUUGCUGAAAAAACACAUGCACGGAUGCUUCUUUCACCAAAUAUUUACACUGAGCCUUCAAUGACACCAUUCCUUUUAUCAAACUCUAAUUUUAAAAGCAUUUAGCACAGAGGAGUAAAUGUAGGUUUUCUACGUGGGGUUAAAAUCUUCAUAGGGGUUUAAAACCACUGCCUACACAGUGGGCUUUAGGUGCUCUGAUUUUUGCAAUAGUGCUCAAGCAUUGCUUCAAAAUGACUACUGAAAGCUGGGGGAAAUCAAAUAAUUCUGAUGUAUUAGCUGAAUUAUAAAGCAGUAACAGAGGGCACUGUAAUUGAAUGUAUGGAGAUGAUGAACAUUUGAACUCACACAGCAUAAGUCUUUUAUUUUAAAAUAAUCCAUAAACUGCUUUAGCAAUUCUCUAAAAGCAUAUAAAGAUACAGACAAUUCAUUUAAAAUGGCACUUUCAAUACAGUCUAAAAUCACAGAUUUUAAAAUGAUAAAAAAAUAUAUAUGUGUGAUACUAAAAAUAUUCAGUGCUUCUGAAUUAAAGCAUUUUUUCACUGGCUCUGCUAUAGUGAUUUCUGUUGCUUAUAUCUUGAUUUUCCUUGGGAAAUUGCAGCCAGAACUACUCUGAGCUCAUAGUUCUGGUCUAUUCAUAGAAUCAUAAAAUGGGUUGGGUUGGAAGGGACCUCAAGGAUCACCAAGCUCCAACCCCCCUGGCAGCAGGCAGGGCCUCCAACCUCCUCGUUUAAUACUAGACCAGGCUGCCCAGGGCCCCAUCCAACCUGGCCUAAACCUAUUCCCAGUGAAGAGGUUCAAAUAUGCGAAGGAAUCCUGUCUUUUAAAGAAUUGUUUUUGAUAGAAGGCUCUUAAAUGAACCAAUUAUCAGAGUGUAUUUCCUAUCUAAGCUGAAAUGCAAGAAGGUCCAGCUAGAAGUAACACAGAUGUAGGAAAUCACUGUUGCAAAACUCAAUAUAAAAAUUCAAAACCUUAAGAAAAUUGGAGGAUUUGGCCAAAUCUCUUGAGUAGCGUGUUGGACCAGCUCAGCCUUACCCUUGGUACUCCUAAGCUCCAAGUGUGUGCCUGAGUGGCCCGAUCAGGAUUCCCUGUGUGUGACAUGGGACACUGGGGACAUCCUCACUUCAUCUGUUGGGUGCUGAAGUUGGCCAGGAUCUUUUGCACUUUGCCUUGGUUGCACUUACCACAGUGAGCUCAUUAGCUGCAUGCACAAAUCCCAGCAUGCACAGCCACUCACCCAGCUCUGCCUGCUUUGUGUCCUGCAGGAAAUUCAGAAGGGAAUUGUUUCAAGAGGGUGUGCUGUGAUCGCUGUUUCUUCUGGUGUCACACUGAAAGGAAUACAAGAUUUUAGGCCAAGCCAUAAUGGUUGCAGUGGAGAGCUCCUGGAAGAGCAUGGUUUCUGCGUGCCGAUUUCUGCUGCCAUCAGACACAUGGUAAAUCCUGAAACUGCUGCAGGUUGGAAGCUGUCCCAGGCAGGGCACAAAAGGGAGACUGGGAAUCACAGGCUGGAAUCAAAACCCCUACAUUUAGUGACAAAUCUUGGACAGAAACUCAAGCCUCAGAAGACAGAGGAGCUCUGCUGGUAUUAUCUGGUAAUGUGAAGCUAACUACAGAUAAGAAGGCUCUCUGUGUCCAGAAAAGAAGCCAUUGGAUUGGAUUAUAUCAGACUGAGACAUGAAGGAUUAGUGAACAGGCAGCCUGACAGCACUGCUUUGUUUGUUACAUGCAUCCAAACCAGCGUGUUUGUAAAUGAAACGUGCAAUUUGGAGAUGAGUCAUUAAGGAUGGCUUUGGGGAUGUCUGGAUGCCCAGAGCUGGGGUUUUGACACCUGUGAACCUGUAAAGAUGCAAUUUUUCUUUUUCAAAUCCUUUGUAACAUCUUCCUUAAUCUUUUGCACAAUUCUCCUCCCAGACCUGGAAGUCUGAAUGGAAACGACAACUUGCUCCUCUUCUGGCUAACUAGGACCAGAGCACAGAAGUUUCCUAAGGGAAAAAAUGAUGAGCUGGCUUCCCCCACAUCUGUUGUGUUUGUCUCCAUUUUUGCUCUUUUACUGUCUAAUCUGCUCUACUGAACUGCCAAUCAUCUCCCGGGGAUGCUUUCUCUGCUUGACAGCCAGUAAGGCCAUCUGAUUUCAGGCCUCCUUGAGUGUGUGUGCUUGCAGGCCCUGGGGCUGAGAUGCACAGUCUGGAGGCUGGGCCUGGGCAGAAGGUGGCUGCUCAAAGAGUGCCCUGCAGUGAUUCCCACCUUCAUUACCACUGUGCAGCUGUUUCAGAGCUCAGAGAGGUUCAAGGAUAAUGGAGGAGCAUUGCCCUCCUUCUGCUGACCUAUUUCCCCACCUUGCUCAGCUCUGGAGGAGCUCGUGGCCAACUUGCCUCUGGUUCACCUCCAUCAACUCCAUUUAUUUCAGGAUGUUAGGUUGCUGCACAUGGAACCCUCAGUGAUGGAAAGAUCACAUGACUUUCCUUUACUCAGAGACAUGAUUUUAUCUUAUCUGCCACUGUGUCAGAUUUUCAUACUUUAUUCUAUAAUAGUGGGUGAGUGUGGGCCCCUACAGUUCCCAGAAUUCCCAGCAGCUUUAUAAGAAGAAAAUAACUGGACAGAACAAAUUCCCUUUAACUUCAGUGAAAAUGGGCCCAGACUGAUAAUUCUGAGGUAGAGAGAUUCGAAGCACCUAUUCUUUGCUGUUUUAUUUUUUAAAGUAUUUUAUUCUGAAGCAGCGGAUGUUACUUUCAUGGCAGGAAGCAUUAUAAGAACACUAAAAGGGUUAGGAACUUAGCUAGACCUGAGGAGAUUUAAAAGCCCUAUUCCUCUGUACAGCUCUAUCAUACCACAUUUCCUUCUCCAUCCCAUAAAACACUAACUUCUAUAAUUGCCUAAUUCUCGUACAUUUGCGAAGUAAUCAAUAGAAUGAAAAAGCUUCUGUUCAUGUGCCUCGGGAAUGCUGAUAUUACAUAAAAAUAGGUGCAAAUCAAACAUACGUCUCAAGCUCCUAAAGUGACAUGGAGCCACAUUCAAUUCCUGCACUACAAGCUACUGAGGCUACAAAAUGUAGUAGAAAUGCAGAGCACAAAGGAGAAGCAUGCCAGCCUCUUUAGAAAGCUGUGCCUAUCAUUGGCAAUGGCUGGUUGGCAUUCAUGUCUCUCAGUCCUUUGACUGAUUUGUUUCUGAGGUGUAACGGCUGCCUACGGGUUGUACCUACACUAGUGAAUCCAAUGUGACACACAGCCAGAACAUUGCAGUACACUGCUUCUUGUACUAAUAAAUAUUUAAGCACGCAACCUAAGUGCUUCUUCAGCAUCAGUUCCUUCUCUGCUGCAAGUGGCAUAUAGCAACUAGCAAACCGCUGUUCAAAAAGGAAAAUAAAAAAGGCCACUGAUAAGCUUCUGAUAAUGGAUAAUGUAUUUGAUCGGUUUUUGUUUGUAAAGUUUUGUUUUUGUUAAAUAAAGUUCCAUGAGCCUUUUGUGUGUGGA
Molecule: long non-coding RNA, 23677 nt
Organism: Gallus gallus (chicken)
Lineage: Eukaryota; Metazoa; Chordata; Aves; Galliformes; Phasianidae
Exons: 8
Source: RefSeq, a predicted model, not a curated record